GGAAAACUAGUUUAACAAAACAUAGGACUUCGACUCCUAAAAUCCUAAAUAAUUGGGGUUUUCCU
Molecule: transfer RNA, 65 nt
Filed under: Ophiopholis aculeata (daisy brittle star)
Lineage: Eukaryota; Metazoa; Echinodermata; Ophiuroidea; Amphilepidida; Ophiactidae
Description: tRNA-Arg
Rfam family: tRNA
About the family: Transfer RNA (tRNA) molecules are approximately 80 nucleotides in length. Their secondary structure includes four short double-helical elements and three loops (D, anti-codon, and T loops).
Source: RNAcentral